GUCUAAAAAGAUGAUAAUAAUUCUAAAUCUAAAUAAAGUAGAAAACAUUUUCGUCCUCAAAUCAAAAGAACAAGUAAAAUGAAAAAAAUAAACCAAACUGAAAGUUUAAUCAUCAUAUUCUUCUUCACCGUACAUGUUUGGAACUUGGUCUUCAUCUGAUUCCAAAUUAGUACCAGCAAAAUCUUCCUCUUCAGCAUCAGAAAUAAAAUCUUCAUCAUGCAGUUCUCUAAUAUCAGCCAUAUCAUCAUCAUCUGCCGCUCCUUCUGUAUCCACAGCCCCUACACCCAUAGCUGAUUCAUGCUCUCCAUCAUCACCUUCAACAAGCCAUUCUUGAGCAUGAGUAACAUCAUCAGCCAGCAAUAUAUUGAUGUUCUUCUCCUUCCGUUUUUUUUUCCUUUUUU
RNAcentral lists this long non-coding RNA (401 nucleotides) under Brassica napus (rape). Its description in RNAcentral is "long non-coding RNA (BNAP_LNC021976)". Lineage: Eukaryota; Viridiplantae; Streptophyta; Magnoliopsida; Brassicales; Brassicaceae. The record is from RNAcentral.